This 368-nucleotide ribosomal RNA is filed under the name uncultured bacterium. RNAcentral's name for it is "bacterial SSU rRNA". It matches the Rfam family "Bacterial small subunit ribosomal RNA", at positions 29 to 409 of the family's 1533-position model. The record is from RNAcentral.
AAUGAACGUUGGCGGCGUGGAUUAGGCAUGCAAGUCGCGCGAGAAAUUUCCUUCGGGAGAUGGACAGCGGCGGAAGGGAGAGGAAUGAGUAGAAAUCUGCCCUCGGGACGGGGAUAGCGGCGGGAAACUGCCGGUAAUACCCGAUAACAUCUUAGGAUCAAAAUGGUGUGAUUCCGCCUGAGGAUGAGUCUACUUCCUAUUAGCUAGUUGGCGGGGUAAUGGCCCACCAAGGCAACGAUGGGUAGCGGGUGUGAGAGCACGAUCCGCCGUCACUGGGACUGAGACACUGCCCAGACACCUACGGGUGCUGCAGUCGAGAAUCUUCGGCAAUGGGGGAAACCCUGACCGAGCGACGCCGCGUGCGGGAU